RNAcentral lists this ribosomal RNA (272 nucleotides) under uncultured Staphylococcus sp. RNAcentral describes it as "partial 16S ribosomal RNA". It matches the Rfam family "Bacterial small subunit ribosomal RNA", at positions 89 to 355 of the family's 1533-position model. Lineage: Bacteria; Bacillati; Bacillota; Bacilli; Caryophanales; Staphylococcaceae. The record is from RNAcentral.
ACGUUAGCGGCGGACGGGUGAGUAACACGUGGGUAACCUACCUAUAAGACUGGGAUAACUUGGGAAGCCGGAGCUAACACCGGAUAAUAUUUCGAACCGCAUGGUUCGAUAGUGAAAGAUGGUUUUGCUAUCACUUAUAGAUGGACCCGCGCCGUAUUAGCUAGUUGGUAAGGUAACGGCUUACCAAGGCGACGAUACGUAGCCGACCUGAGAGGGUGAUCGGCCACACUGGAACUGAGACACGGUCCAGACUCCUACGGGAGGCAGCAGUC